CUCGUAGGCGGCCAACUAAGUCAGACGUGAAGUCCCUCGGCUUAACCGGGGAACUGCGUCUGAUACUGGGUGGCUUGAAUCCGGGAGAGGGAUGCGGAAUUCCAGGUGUAGCGGUGAAAUGCGUAGAUAUCUGGAGGAACACCGGUGGCGAAGGCGGCAUCCUGGACCGGUAUUGACGCUGAGGAGCGAAAGCCAGGGGAGCAAACG
This 207-nucleotide ribosomal RNA is filed under the name uncultured bacterium. Its description in RNAcentral is "partial 16S ribosomal RNA". It matches the Rfam family "Bacterial small subunit ribosomal RNA", at positions 568 to 774 of the family's 1533-position model. The record is from RNAcentral.